GAAAUGCGAUAAGUAGUGUGAAUUGCAGAAUUCAGUGAAUCAUCGAAUCUUUGAACGCACAUUGCGCCCUUUGGUAUUCCAAAGGGCAUGCCUGUUCGAGCGUCAUUUGUACCCUCAAGCUUUGCUUGGUGUUGGGCGUCUUGUCUCUAGCUUUGCUGGAGACUCGCCUUAAAGUAAUUGGCAGCCGGCCUACUGGUUUCGGAGCGCAGCACAAGUCGCACUCUCUAUCAGCAAAGGUCAAGCAUCCAUUAAGCCUUUUUUUCAACUUUUGACCUCGGAUCAGGUAGGGAUACCCGCUGAACUUAAGC
RNAcentral lists this unclassified non-coding RNA (308 nucleotides) under plant metagenome. Its description in RNAcentral is "partial contains 5.8S ribosomal RNA, internal transcribed spacer 2, and large subunit ribosomal RNA". The stretch from base 1 to 105 matches the Rfam family "5.8S ribosomal RNA", at positions 50 to 154 of the family's 154-position model. The record is from RNAcentral.